This 253-nucleotide ribosomal RNA is filed under the name uncultured bacterium. RNAcentral describes it as "partial 16S ribosomal RNA". It matches the Rfam family "Bacterial small subunit ribosomal RNA", at positions 524 to 776 of the family's 1533-position model. The record is from RNAcentral.
UACGGAGGGGACUAGCGUUGUUCGGAAUUACUGGGCGUAAAGCGCACGUAGGCGGCUUUGUAAGUCAGGGGUGAAAUCCCGGGGCUCAACCCCGGAACUGCCUUUGAUACUGCGAAUCUCGAGUCCGGAAGAGGUGAGUGGAAUUCCUAGUGUAGAGGUGAAAUUCGUAGAUAUUAGGAAGAACACCAGUGGCGAAGGCGGCUCACUGGUCCGGUACUGACGCUGAGGUGCGAAAGCGUGGGGAGCAAACAGG